GAAAUGCGAUACUUGGUGUGAAUUGCAGAAUCCCGUGAACCAUCGAGUCUUUGAACGCAAGUUGCACCCGAGGCCACUCGGCCGAGGGCACGCCUGCCGGGGUGUCACGCACGUGCUGCCUCACCCGGCGCUCACCCCAUCCGGUGGAGGCGCCGCGGGGCGGAGACUGGCCACCCGCGGGCAUGAGGCGCGGCUGGCUGAAAAGCAUUCACUCCCCCGCCGGGGCGUGGAAGCGGCGGUAGGUGGUUUGAGAGGUGGCUGCCUCGUUGGAGCCCGGACGCCACGCCCGUCGCCCCGCGCCCGGGGGCAAGCAAAGCGAAGUGGCACCCAACUCGGCCGCCCCGCGCGGCCCUUGCGUAGCGACCUCAAGUCAGGCGGGGACACCCGCUGAGUUUAAGC
Molecule: unclassified non-coding RNA, 399 nt
Filed under: plant metagenome
Description: partial contains 5.8S ribosomal RNA, internal transcribed spacer 2, and large subunit ribosomal RNA
Rfam family: 5.8S ribosomal RNA (bases 1-107)
Source: RNAcentral